GGGAUUGUGGCUCAGUGGUAGAGCGCUCACCUACCAUGUGUGAGGAACUGGGUUCACUCCUCAGCACCA
This is a non-coding RNA of Ictidomys tridecemlineatus (thirteen-lined ground squirrel), 69 nucleotides long. The record is from Rfam. Lineage: Eukaryota; Metazoa; Chordata; Mammalia; Rodentia; Sciuridae.